RNAcentral lists this ribosomal RNA (440 nucleotides) under uncultured bacterium. RNAcentral describes it as "partial 16S ribosomal RNA". It matches the Rfam family "Bacterial small subunit ribosomal RNA", at positions 338 to 795 of the family's 1533-position model. The record is from RNAcentral.
CCUACGGGUGGCUGCAGUGGGGGAUAUUGCACAAUGGGGGAAACCCUGAUGCAGCGACGCCGCGUGUGGGAAGACGGUCCUCUGGAUUGUAAACCACUGUCCCCAGGGACGAAAAUGACGGUACCUGGGGAGGAAGCUCCGGCUAACUACGUGCCAGCAGCCGCGGUAAUACGUAGGGAGCGAGCGUUGUCCGGAAUUACUGGGUGUAAAGGGCGUGCAGCCGGAGAGACAAGUCAGAUGUGAAAUCCACGGGCUCAACCCGUGAACUGCAUUUGAAACUGUUUCCCUUGAGUGUCGGAGAGGUAAUCGGAAUUCCUUGUGUAGCGGUGAAAUGCGUAGAUAUAAGGAAGAACACCAGUGGCGAAGGCGGAUUACUGGACGAUAACUGACGGUGAGGCGCGAAAGCGUGGGGAGCAAACAGGAUUAGAUACCCUGUAGUC